AUUGAACGCUGGCGGAAUGCUUUACACAUGCAAGUCGAGCGGCAGCACGGGGGCAACCCUGGUGGCGAGCGGCGAACGGGUGAGUAAUACAUCGGAACAUGCCCAGUCGUGGGGGAUAACACUUCGGAAGAAGUGCUAAUACCACAUACGUCCUGAGGGGGAAAGCGGGGGAUCGCAAGACCUCGCGCGAUUGGAGUGGCCGAUGUCAGAUUAGCUAGUUGGUGGGGUAAAGGCCUACCAAGGCAACGAUCUGUAGCUGGUCUGAGAGGAUGAUCAGCCACACUGGGACUGAGACACGGCCCAGACUCCUACGGGAGGCAGCAGUGGGGAAUUUUGGACAAUGGGGGCAACCCUGAUCCAGCCAUUCCGCGUGAGUGAAGAAGGCCUUCGGGUUGUAAAGCUCUUUCGGCAGGAACGAAACGGUGAGCUCUAACAUAGCUUGCUAAUGACGGUACCUGAAGAAGAAGCACCGGCUAACUACGUG
Molecule: ribosomal RNA, 484 nt
Filed under: uncultured bacterium
Lineage: Bacteria
Description: partial 16S ribosomal RNA
Rfam family: Bacterial small subunit ribosomal RNA
Source: RNAcentral